UCCCUCAUAACUUCUGAAGGGGUAAGUGUUCACUCAGGCUGAUUGACACUGUGUGUCUGAAUUGAAGAAUGUGGCUAGAAAAGAAACAGGUUGUGCUUUCCUCACUGCAUAGUUAGUCGCAGUGGUGACAAUGAGACCUGUAACAGGU
This is a small nucleolar RNA of Amazona collaria (yellow-billed parrot), 148 nucleotides long. The record is from Ensembl. NCBI's taxonomy places the organism in Eukaryota, Metazoa, Chordata, Aves, Psittaciformes, Psittacidae.